Molecule: ribosomal RNA, 440 nt
Filed under: uncultured bacterium
Lineage: Bacteria
Description: partial 16S ribosomal RNA
Rfam family: Bacterial small subunit ribosomal RNA
Source: RNAcentral
CCUACGGGAGGCAGCAGUAGGGAAUAUUGCUCAAUGGGCGAAACCCUGAAGCAGCAACGCCGCGUGGAGGAUGAAGGUUUUAGGAUUGUAAACCCCUUUUGUUAGAGAAGAUUAUGACGGUAUCUAACGAAUAAGCACCGGCUAACUCCGUGCCAGCAGCCGCGGUAAUAAGGAGGGUGCAAGCGUUACUCGGAAUCACUGGGCGUAAAGGGUGCGUAGGCGGGGUAAUAAGUCAGAUGUGAAAUGCUGUAGCUUAACCAAAGAACUGCAUUUGAUACUGUUACUCUGGAGUGUAGGAGAGGUAGGUGGAAUUCUUGGUGUAGGGGUAAAAUGCGUAGAGAUCAAGAGGAAUACUCAUUGCGAAGGCGACCUGCUGGAACAUUACUGACGCUGAUGCACGAAAGCGUGGGGAGCAAACAGGAUUAGAUACCCGAGUAGUC